CCUGGUCGUCCACGCUGUAAACGAUGUCGAUUUGGAGGUUGUGCCCUUGAGGCGUGGCUUCCGGAGCUAACGCGUUAAAUCGACCGCUGGGGAGUACGGCCGCAAGGUUAAAACUCAAAUGAAUUGACGGGGGCCCGCACAAGCGGUGGAGCAUGUGGUUUAAUUCGAUGCAACGCGAAGAACCUUACCUACUCUUGACAUCCAGAGAACUUAGCAGAGAUGCUUUGGUGCCUUCGGGAACUCUGAGACAGGUGCUGCAUGGCUGUCGUCAGCUCGUGUUGUGAAAUGUUGGGUUAAGUCCCGCAACGAGCGCAACCCUUAUCCUUUGUUGCCAGCGGUUCGGCCGGGAACUCAAAGGAGACUGCCAGUGAUAAACUGGAGGAAGGUGGGGAUGACGUCAAGUCAUCAUGGCCCUUACGAGUAGGGCUACACACGUGCUACAAUGGCGUAUACAAAGAGAAGCGACCUCGCGAGAGCAAGCGGACCUCAUAAAGUACGUCGUAGUCCGGAUUGGAGUCUGCAACUCGACUCCAUGAAGUCGGAAUCGCUAGUAAUCGUAGAUCAGAAUGCUACGGUGAAUACGUUCCCGGGCCUUGUACACACCGCCCGUCACACCAUGGGAGUGGGUUGCAAAAGAAGUAGGUAGCUUAACCUUCGGGAGGGCGCUUACCACUUUGUGAUUCAUGACUGGGGUGAAGUCGUAACAAGGUAACCA
Molecule: ribosomal RNA, 715 nt
Filed under: uncultured Serratia sp.
Lineage: Bacteria; Pseudomonadati; Pseudomonadota; Gammaproteobacteria; Enterobacterales; Yersiniaceae
Description: bacterial SSU rRNA
Rfam family: Bacterial small subunit ribosomal RNA
Source: RNAcentral